RNAcentral lists this ribosomal RNA (429 nucleotides) under Bacteroidota bacterium. RNAcentral describes it as "Bacteroidetes bacterium partial 16S ribosomal RNA". It matches the Rfam family "Bacterial small subunit ribosomal RNA", at positions 355 to 776 of the family's 1533-position model. The record is from RNAcentral. Lineage: Bacteria; Pseudomonadati; Bacteroidota.
UAGGGAAUCUUCGGCAAUGGGGGGAACCCUGACCGAGCAACGCCGCGUGAGUGAAGAAGGCUUUCGGAUCGUAAAGCCCUGUUGUUAAGGAAGAACGAGUGUGAGAAUGGAAAGUUCAUACUGUGACGGUACUUAACCAGAAAGGGACGGCUAACUACGUGCCAGCAGCCGCGGUAAUACGUAGGUUCCGAGCGUUGUCCGGAUUUAUUGGGCGUAAAGCGAGCGCAGGCGGUUAGAUAAGUCUGAAGUUAAAGGCAGUGGCUCAACCAUUGUAGGGUAUGGAAACUGGUUAGAUUGAGGGCAGGAGGGGAGGGUGGAAUUCCAUGUGUGGCGGGGAAAUGCGGAGGUAUAUGGGGGAACACCGGUGGGGAAAGCGGCUCUCUGGGCUGUAACUGACGGUGGGGCUCGAAAGCGUGGGGAACGAACAAG